UACGUAGGGGGCAAGCGUUGUCCGGAUUAUUGGGCGUAAAGAGCGUGUAGGCGGCCAUACAGGUCAGCUGUGAAAACUCGAGGCUCAACCUCGAGACGUCGGUUGAAACCGUAUGGCUAGAGUCCGGAAGAGGAGAGUGGAAUUCCCGGUGUAGCGGUGAAAUGCGCAGAUAUCGGGAAGAACACCCGUGGCGAAGGCGGCUCUCUGGGACGGUACUGGACGCUGAGACGCGAAAGCGUGGGGAGCGAACGAGG
Molecule: ribosomal RNA, 254 nt
Filed under: uncultured bacterium
Lineage: Bacteria
Description: partial 16S ribosomal RNA
Rfam family: Bacterial small subunit ribosomal RNA
Source: RNAcentral